This 223-nucleotide ribosomal RNA is filed under the name uncultured bacterium. RNAcentral's name for it is "partial 16S ribosomal RNA". It matches the Rfam family "Bacterial small subunit ribosomal RNA", at positions 267 to 504 of the family's 1533-position model. The record is from RNAcentral.
ACCAAGGCGACGAUCAGUAGCCGGACUGAGAGGUUGGCCGGCCACAUUGGGACUGAGACACGGCCCAGACUCCUACGGGAGGCAGCAGUGGGGAAUAUUGGGCAAUGGGCGCAAGCCUGACCCAGCAACGCCGCGUGAAGGAAGAAGGUCCUCGGGUUGUAAACUUCUUUUGUCAGGGACGAAGCAAGUGACGGUACCUGACUAAGAAGCACCGGCUAAAUAC